This 366-nucleotide ribosomal RNA is filed under the name uncultured organism. RNAcentral's name for it is "bacterial SSU rRNA". It matches the Rfam family "Bacterial small subunit ribosomal RNA", at positions 526 to 896 of the family's 1533-position model. The record is from RNAcentral.
CGGAGGAUCCAAGCGUUAUCCGGAAUCAUUGGGUUUAAAGGGUCCGUAGGCGGUCUAGUAAGUCAGUGGUGAAAGCCCAUCGCUCAACGGUGGGACGGCCAUUGAUACUGCUGGACUUGAAUUAUUAGGAAGUAACUAGAAUAUGUAGUGUAGCGGUGAAAUGCUUAGAGAUUACAUGGAAUACCAAUUGCGAAGGCAGGUUACUACUAAUGGAUUGACGCUGAUGGACGAAAGCGUGGGUAGCGAACAGGAUUAGAUACCCUGGUAGUCCACGCCGUAAACGAUGGAUACUAGCUGUUGGGCGCAAGUUCAGUGGCUAAGCGAAAGUGAUAAGUAUCCCACCUGGGGAGUACGUUCGCAAGAAUG